GUUUAUGCAAAAAGUUUAAUUUUAUUUAAUCAAAAUUUACCAUUUAAACUUUUAUGAUUUUCUCUAUCCCUUAUUUGGUCAUUAACUGUUCCAGAAAGGGCCAUAAAAAAACCUGUCAUCUCCAUUCUAGUCUGGUGAAUAUAUAUUUUUUUAAAAUAUGCAACUUAAUAAACGCUUAGUAGAAUGGUAUUUUAUUCUGUAUAGUAGAACAAGUAAAAAAAAAGAGAAUUAUGCGUGAAAUUGUGGAUCUCUUUUAUGUCAAGCCUGAUUUUUUCUUUAAAGAUAUAAGAUCAAUCCAUAGCUUUCAAAACUGUCCUAUUUAUGCUUCUUUCUGACCUUCCUUUUGUUUUCUCUUCAUUAAAAAAAAGGUGCCCUUUUUUUUUCUUUUUCCAUUCACUAUCUUAUCUUUAUUCCCCACAUACCUGCCUUCUCCCCUGCCCUUUUGGGGAAAAGAAAAACAAAACCCUUAUAACAAAUACACAGGAUUAAACAAAACAAAUUCCAGCAUUUGGUAUAUGUAUGUGUGUAUACAUACAUACAUACACACACAUACAUGUAUACAUAUAUGUAUGCAUGCACAUACAUAUAUGUAUACGUACAUACAUACAUACAAAUGUUCUGAGCAUGUGGUUCUAAAGGAGCUGUGGGUUUGAUCCACUUCCCACAAAAAGUCAGGAAAUGAAUGACUCCUAGAGAAAUGAAAUUGUCAUUUCUACUUUGGUGUUCCUUCUCCUUUAGGCUGUCCUACUGUAAUCUGAUUGCUGCUUAUCUUCAGGAUCUCCUUUCUGUCAUCUGUAGCAGUGAGAACCUAAAAACCUUGGACCUAAGCUAUAAUUUAUUUGGUGAUGAAGGAAUGAAGCUGCUGUGUGAGGCCUUGGAAAAGCAGGAUUGUAACCUACAGACACUAUCUGAUGAAUUACAAACUCUCUAUUGGUUAUUGUCAAUAUCUUUCCUCCACUUUGAUGAAGAAUAG
RNAcentral lists this long non-coding RNA (973 nucleotides) under Phascolarctos cinereus (koala). RNAcentral's name for it is "lncRNA (ENSPCIG00000027240.2)". The record is from RNAcentral. Lineage: Eukaryota; Metazoa; Chordata; Mammalia; Diprotodontia; Phascolarctidae.